This 219-nucleotide long non-coding RNA is filed under the name Mustela putorius furo (domestic ferret). RNAcentral describes it as "lncRNA (ENSMPUG00000024428.1)". The record is from RNAcentral. Lineage: Eukaryota; Metazoa; Chordata; Mammalia; Carnivora; Mustelidae.
AUGGCAAGUAAUACCUUAUCUAUAGCUGAAAGUCUUAAUAUGAAAGUUUCUACCUCUUACAAGAGAGGCAGCCUUGGUUCCCCCACCAGUGGGAUCCAGUUGUCUCUGCCCAUUUGUGGAGUAACUUGGAGGACAGGAAGCUGGUUUGCUGAAAGACCGCGGGGUGGAGAGCUUACUACAGUGCUGAUGCCCAGAGGAAUGCUGGGAGGUGGGGGUUGA